GCGUAAUAGCUCACUAGUCGAGUCGGCCUGCGCGGAAGAUGUAACGGGGCUCAAACCAGGCACCGAAGCCGCGGAUUUGCACUUAGUGCAAGUGGUAGGGGAGCGUUCUGUAAGUCUGCGAAGGUGUAUCGAGAGGUAUGCUGGAGAUAUCAGAAGUGCGAAUGCUGACGUAAGUAACGAUAAAGGGGGUGAAAAGCCUCCUCGCCGGAAGACCAAGGGUUCCUGUCCAACGUUAAUCGGGGCAGGGUGAGUCGACCCCUAAGGUGAGGCCGAAAGGCGUAAUCGAUGGGAAGCAGGUUAAUAUUCCUGCACGACUUGUAAUUGCGAUGGGGGGACGGAGAAGGCUAGGUGGGCCAGGCGACGGUUGUCCUGGUGAAAGUGCGUAGGCGGUACCUUUAGGUAAAUCCGGGGGUGCAACGCUGAGACACGAGACGAACACACUACGGUGUGGAAGCCAUUGAUGCCCUGCUUCCAGGAAAAGCCUCUAAGCUUCAGAUUACAAGUCAUCGUACCCCAAACCGACACAGGUGGUCGGGUAGAGAAUACCAAGGCGCUUGAGAGAACUCGGGUGAAGGAACUAGGCAAAAUAGUACCGUAACUUCGGGAGAAGGUACGCUCUUGUUGGUGAAGUCCCUUGCGGAUGGAGCUGACGGGAGUCGCAGUGACCAGAUGGCUGGGACUGUUUAUCAAAAACACAGCACUCUGCAAACACGAAAGUGGACGUAUAGGGUGUGACACCUGCCCGGUGCCGGAAGGUUAAUUGAUGGGGUUAGCGCAAGCGAAGCUCUUGAUCGAAGCCCCGGUAAACGGCGGCCGUAACAAUAACGGUCCUAAGGUAGCGAAAUUCCUUGUCGGGUAAGUUCCGACCUGCACGAAUGGCGUAACGAUAGCGGUACUGUCUCCACCUGGGGCUCAGUGAAAUUGAAUUUGCUGUUAAGAUGCAGUGUAUCCGCGGCUAGACGGAAAGACCCCAUGAACCUUUACUAUAGCUUUGCAUUGAGAUUUGGUUCUGUUUGUGUAGGAUAGGUGGGAGCCUGAGAAGUAGGGACGCAAGUUCAGAUGGAGGCGACGUUGAAAUACCACCCUGAUAUAAUUGAAUUUCUAACUAGUCCCAUGAUCUGGGAUAAGGACAUUGCAUGGUGGGUAGUUUGACUGGGGCGGUCUCCUCCCAAAGAGUAACGGAGGAGCGCAAAGGUACCCUAAUCACGGUCGGAAAUCGUGAGGUUAGCGCAAAGGUAGAAGGGUGCUUGACUGCGAGACGGACAGGUCGAGCAGGUGCGAAAGCAGGUCUUAGUGAUCCGGUGGUACCGAAUGGAAGGGCCAUCGCUUAACGGAUAAAAGGUACUCUGGGGAUAACAGGCUGAUACCGCCCAAGAGUUCAUAUCGACGGCGGUGUUUGGCACCUCGAUGUCGGCUCAUCACAUCCUGGGGCUGAAGCAGGUCCCAAGGGUUUGGCUGUUCGCCAAUUAAAGUGGUACGUGAGCUGGGUUUAAAACGUCGUGAGACAGUUUGGUCCCUAUCUGCCGUGGACGAUUGAUAUUUGAAGGGAGCUGUUCUUAGUACGAGAGGACCAGAAUGGACGAACCUCUGGUGUUCCGGUUGUCACGCCAGUGGCAUUGCCGGGUAGCUAAGUUCGGAAGGGAUAACUGCUGAAAGCAUCUAAGUAGGAAGCCUACCCUAAGAUUAGAUAUCACAUAACCCUUGAGGUUACUAAAGAGCCGUUCAAGACUAGGACGUUGAUAGGUUGGGUGUGUAAGCGCUGUAAGGCGUUGAGCUUACCAAUACUAAUUGCUCGUGAG
RNAcentral lists this ribosomal RNA (1799 nucleotides) under Cipangopaludina cathayensis. RNAcentral's name for it is "bacterial LSU rRNA". It matches the Rfam family "Bacterial large subunit ribosomal RNA", at positions 1132 to 2915 of the family's 2925-position model. Lineage: Eukaryota; Metazoa; Mollusca; Gastropoda; Architaenioglossa; Viviparidae. The record is from RNAcentral.